Non-coding RNA from Zonotrichia albicollis (white-throated sparrow), 1276 nucleotides. Lineage: Eukaryota; Metazoa; Chordata; Aves; Passeriformes; Passerellidae. The record is from RefSeq and is a predicted model, not a curated record.
AGAGGGAAGGUGAUAGUUUUCCAUAAAUUUCCAUGAUUUCCUCUUAAUACUUUGUUCUCUCUGAUGAACACCUUUGUCUCAGCUUGCUCUGUCCUUCAUAGGACUUUUUUUUUUUUUCCAUUUGCUAAACAUAUGGCUGAGACUUAGUAGAGGAGAGCACAAAGGACAAUUUGUUCUAGAAGCCUGCAUCUCAGCAAGCACAGUAUUUAUAAGAAUCUCAUCAAAUAUACUUGAGUUGUCUAACGCAGGAUCUUUCCUAGGUGUAAGCACCAAAACGAGUAGGGGAAAGCUUAGGAUGUAACCUGCCUUCAGAGAGGGACAGAGCAGAAAGGACUGCGAGAGUGGGGGAGGAGGAAUAGCUUUACAUCGCUUCUCUUCGAAACCUUGCAGCUACAGUGGCUCUUGCAAAACACUUGUUGAUUUAAAGAGCGCAAGCAGAGCUACUGACAGAGCCCAUUACCUUCGCUGUCAGGUUGGACUCACCAGACAAUGGUAGGGAAGGCAGUUCCAGGAGACCACCGGAGUCUGCAAAUCUGAGGAGCUGCACAGGGAAGUAGGACAGAUGUCCAAAACUGAUGAGGGAAAUCUUCAACAGAUCUGGUCGUUUUGCACUCUCGGGCUCAGCCUUCAAGAAUGACUGCUCCCCAUUCCUGAUGCCUCUGAGUACAUCCCAAAGAGAGCAGCACAAAGGGAGCUUGUAAAUGUGUACAUCUGCACUUGGUGAUGGUGGGAUGGCCUUUAAUUAUGUCCUUCCUCAGCAUUGCUCUUCAAUAUGGAAAUCUUGUGAAGGUACAAAAAUUUGUGUAUUCAAGUGCAGAAUAUCAAGGGAAGAAGACAGUGUUGCACAAUUCUAAACAAAAGUGAACCACUGUUUCACUUUGCAUCAGAGAAUGAAUCACAACUGUGAGACAGAAUUAAUCCUCAAUCUCUUUUUUGCCUGGCUGUGUAUGGGCAGGGUGGAAGAGCUUCCUGAAGACUAAGUAAUUUCUCUGCCAAAUACAACUGAUGGGGAGAGAUAUUCAGAAACGUUGUCCUCUCCAGCUGCUGCAGUGUUGUCUUCUGAAGAUGAUGUCAAAAGUACUCCAGCGGAAACAGUGGCAUUAAGGUGGAUUGGAUCUUUGGUUACCAUCACAUCAAAGCUCCAAUUGAGCAUGUAAGAACGAAAUCCCUCCAUCCUCAUCUCUAAUGGGACUAAAUUCAAAUAGAUUUCUGAUGGCCAUCCCUCCCAUUUCUGAGUUCUCUCAGUAGAAGAAGAAAAUAUUGCAAGUUUUCAGCU